RNAcentral lists this long non-coding RNA (349 nucleotides) under Vitis vinifera (wine grape). RNAcentral's name for it is "long non-coding RNA (VVIN_LNC006712)". The record is from RNAcentral. Lineage: Eukaryota; Viridiplantae; Streptophyta; Magnoliopsida; Vitales; Vitaceae.
UAAUUAUACCUUAAAGUUGUCAGACAAUCUAUCUUUGACAAAUAUUGUCCAAUCUUCAUCCUCAAUAAAAGUAUAUUGAAUUGGUGGUCUUUUGAGGAGCUCCGGUUGGUCUUCGAAAGGAAGAAUGUACUUCACUAUUAGCAAGUUCUUAAAGGACCGAAAGCAUUUUCCCAUUGUUAACAUACAAUUCCUCCUGCUUUUAUGAUUUAAUGAAAAAGCAGUAUGCACAUUAAUACCAAACUUUAGUAAUUUCAAGAGGUUAAGAAUGAUAGACAUUUUGCAUCAAAGUGAUUUAAAUAAGAAAUGGUUACCUCAAUGUUGUCCCAUAACUUAUCCUUCAAUUGUUUAG